This is a long non-coding RNA of Canis lupus familiaris (dog), 388 nucleotides long. RefSeq lists it as uncharacterized. Lineage: Eukaryota; Metazoa; Chordata; Mammalia; Carnivora; Canidae. The transcript has 2 exons. The record is from RefSeq and is a predicted model, not a curated record.
AUCCUCUUUCCCAUGACAUCUCAAAGAUUAUGACAAGCGUUCUGGAAUCUGCCUCUAAAUUCUUCCUGGAUUCUCUGAUCUGGGGAAGGCAAAACUUAUGUAGUAGAGGCAGCUUAAUAGGAACAAACAGGUCCCUUUGGCGGUGAUUGCCCAAGGCACCAUGCUGACAGGCUUAAAUCUUCUCGAGGCUCAGCAUGAAGUCCUGUGUCAUACAAUGGCAAGGUUCAGGCUGCCUCUCUCCAUGUGUCCUGGGGUGUGGUCUCCUUCUGGCCUCUGCUCGUGCCCUUCGCCCACCCAACUUCACAGGAUCCACUCUACUACCACGGGGUUCUCCUGAGACACCUGCCCCUUGUCUUUUUUAUCAUCAGAGCAUUUGUUAUAAUUCUCA